RNAcentral lists this ribosomal RNA (434 nucleotides) under uncultured bacterium. Its description in RNAcentral is "partial 16S ribosomal RNA". It matches the Rfam family "Bacterial small subunit ribosomal RNA", at positions 27 to 507 of the family's 1533-position model. The record is from RNAcentral.
GAACGAACGCUGGCAGCAUGCCUAACACAUGCAAGUCGAACGAGACCUUCGGGUCUAGUGGCGCACGGGUGCGUAACGCGUGGGAACCUGCCCUUAGGUUCGGAAUAACUCCCCGAAAGGGGUGCUAAUACCGGAUAAUGUCUUCGGACCAAAGAUUUAUCGCCUUUGGAUGGGCCCGCGUUGGAUUAGCUAGUUGGUAGGGUAAAAGCCUACCAAGGCGACGAUCCAUAGCUGGUCUGAGAGGAUGAUCAGCCACACUGGGACUGAGACACGGCCCAGACUCCUACGGGAGGCAGCAGUGGGGAAUAUUGGACAAUGGGCGAAAGCCUGAUCCAGCAAUGCCGCGUGAGUGAUGAAGGCCUUAGGGUUGUAAAGCUCUUUUACCCGGGAUGAUAAUGACAGUACCGGGAGAAUAAGCUCCGGCUAACUCCGUG